UAGGGAAUCUUCGGCAAUGGGGGCAACCCUGACCGAGCAACGCCGCGUGAGUGAAGAAGUUUUUCGGAUCGUAAAGCUCGGUUUUAAGAGAAAAACGUGUGUGAGAGUGGAAAGUUCACACAGUGACGGUAACUUACCAGAAAGGGACGGCUAACUACGUGCCAGCAGCCGCGGUAAUACGUAGGUCCCGAGCGUUGUCCGGAUUUAUUGGGCGUAAAGCGAGCGCAGGCGGUUUAAUAAGUCUGAAGUUAAAGGCAGUGGCUUAACCAUUGUUCGCUUUGGAAACUGUUAAACUUGAGUGCAGAAGGGGAGAGUGGAAUUCCAUGUGUAGCGGUGAAAUGCGUAGAUAUAUGGAGGAACACCGGUGGCGAAAGCGGCUCUCUGGUCUGUAACUGACGCUGAGGCUCGAAAGCGUGGGGAGCAAACAGG
RNAcentral lists this ribosomal RNA (429 nucleotides) under bacterium. Its description in RNAcentral is "partial 16S ribosomal RNA". It matches the Rfam family "Bacterial small subunit ribosomal RNA", at positions 355 to 776 of the family's 1533-position model. The record is from RNAcentral.